This 253-nucleotide ribosomal RNA is filed under the name uncultured bacterium. RNAcentral describes it as "partial 16S ribosomal RNA". It matches the Rfam family "Bacterial small subunit ribosomal RNA", at positions 524 to 776 of the family's 1533-position model. The record is from RNAcentral.
UACGUAGGCAGCGAGCGUUGUUCGGAAUUACUGGGCGUAAAGCGUGCGCAGGCGGUUUGCUAAGACCGGUGUGAAAUCCCCGGGCUUAACCUGGGAACUGCGCUUGUAACUGGCAAGCUAGAGUGUGGCAGAGGGGGGUGGAAUUCCACGUGUAGCAGUGAAAUGCGUAGAGAUGUGGAGGAACACCGAUGGCGAAGGCAGCCCCCUGGGCUAACACUGACGCUCAUGCACGAAAGCGUGGGGAGCAAACAGG